This is a long non-coding RNA of Aricia agestis (brown argus), 923 nucleotides long. RefSeq lists it as uncharacterized. The record is from RefSeq and is a predicted model, not a curated record. The transcript has 2 exons. NCBI's taxonomy places the organism in Eukaryota, Metazoa, Arthropoda, Insecta, Lepidoptera, Lycaenidae.
UUAACUACCAAAACAAAAAAAAGUGUUACUACCUUACAGUUACAAAAGGUGCUACCUAUACAUAUAAAUAGGGUAUUACAGGACACAAUAUAAUGAAUAAAAUGGCCCUGGCCUAAGGUUUUUUAGUACGACGAGUAGGAGAAGCUGUUCUACUGGUCGGCUUAUUUUCAGCGGGCUUAGCUGGCACGGAAAGCGUAGACUUGGCAUCUUUCGCGGCGGGGAAUUUAGCCAUCAGCGUUUUGAGCUCCUGCAUACAUUCUAUCUUCUGCCGGGACUUGUCUGGCAAAACAAUGGCUAUCUUACCCUCCGCAGACCAGCAGUUACGCCAAAAUGUUGCCGUGCAGUCAUAAAGACUCGAUGUCUUGACUUGGUCAGGAACUCAGAGACAACUAUGCCGGUGCUCUUUAGUGCAGUCUUAGCUUCCCAGACCAAGCGUCGCUGCUCCAAGUCUUUAAAUCUGACUAAGACAGCACGGGCUUUUCCUUUAGGAGAACCUAGGCGGUGGCAUUAUACAAAUUCAUUGCUAGAAUACCAUGAAAAAGCAAAAUCUUGUUGCGAAAGUAAGUUUCGUGUCUAUCAAGGCCAAUGGUUAAAAGAUCUAGCUGUGCCUUCAGCUUAGAAAGAGUUUGCCAUAUAAAAUUUUUGAAGUUGAGAAACUCACUGCUCAGCGUAGUAAGGUCAGGAACUGAAGACAAAGAUGUUGUGUCCUGAAGGCGCUGCUCAUAGGAAUCCAUUCGUGACUGGAACAACUUAGCCAGGUCUUCCAUGUUGCUGGCAAGUUGCGAUGAAAUGUCCAUUCUUAGCGUCGAUGUUUAGUGAAGAAAGUGGUAAAAAAGUGCAGAAGUUGUGCGAUGUUAAUAUUGUGGCGAGCAAAGGAGGGGUUUAGAAAUUAUUUAAUAGAGUACAUAUAUUUUUCUAAGAAC